UACGUACAAGCAGUGGGAGCACCCUUUGGGUGUGACUGCGUACCUUUUGUAUAAUGGGUCAGCGACUUAUAUUCUGUAGCAAGGUUAACCGAAUAGGGGAGCCGGAGGGAAACCGAGUCUUAAUUGGGCGUUAAGUUGCAGGGUAUAGACCCGAAACCCGGUGAUCUAGCCAUGGGCAGGUUGAAGGUUGGGUAACACUAACUGGAGGACCGAACCGACUAAUGUUGAAAAAUUAGCGGAUGACCUGUGGCUGGGGGUGAAAGGCCAAUCAAACCGGGAGAUAGCUGGUUCUCCCCGAAAGCUAUUUAGGUAGCGCCUCGUGAAUUCAUCUCCGGGGGUAGAGCACUGUUUCGGCUAGGGGGCCAUCCCGGCUUACCAACCCGAUGCAAACUGCGAAUACCGGAGAAUGUUAUCACGGGAGACACACGGCGGGUGCUAACGUCCGUCGUGAAGAGGGAAACAACCCAGACCGCCAGCUAAGGUCCCAAAGUCAUGGUUAAGUGGGAAACGAUGUGGGAAGGCCCAGACAGCCAGGAUGUUGGCUUAGAAGCAGCCAUCAUUUAAAGAAAGCGUAAUAGCUCACUGGUCGAGUCGGCCUGCGCGGAAGAUGUAACGGGGCUAAACCAUGCACCGAAGCUGCGGCAGCGACACUGUGUGUUGUUGGGUAGGGGAGCGUUCUGUAAGCCUGCGAAGGUGGCCUGUGAGGGUUGCUGGAGGUAUCAGAAGUGCGAAUGCUGACAUAAGUAACGAUAAAGCGGGUGAAAAGCCCGCUCGCCGGAAGACCAAGGGUUCCUGUCCAACGUUAAUCGGGGCAGGGUGAGUCGACCCCUAAGGCGAGGCCGAAAGGCGUAGUCGAUGGGAAACGGGUUAAUAUUCCCGUACUUGGUGUUACUGCGAAGGGGGGACGGAGAAGGCUAUGUUGGCCGGGCGACGGUUGUCCCGGUUUAAGCGUGUAGGUGUGUGUUCCAGGUAAAUCCGGUUCACUUUAACACUGAGGCGUGACGACGAGGCACUACGGUGCUGAAGCAACAAAUGCCCUGCUUCCAGGAAAAGCCUCUAAGCAUCAGGUAACAUCAAAUCGUACCCCAAACCGACACAGGUGGUCAGGUAGAGAAUACCAAGGCGCUUGAGAGAACUCGGGUGAAGGAACUAGGCAAAAUGGUGCCGUAACUUCGGGAGAAGGCACGCUGACACGUAGGUGAAGUGAUUUACUCAUGGAGCUGAAGUCAGUCGAAGAUACCAGCUGGCUGCAACUGUUUAUUAAAAACACAGCACUGUGCAAACACGAAAGUGGACGUAUACGGUGUGACGCCUGCCCGGUGCCGGAAGGUUAAUUGAUGGGGUCAGCGCAAGCGAAGCUCCUGAUCGAAGCCCCGGUAAACGGCGGCCGUAACUAUAACGGUCCUAAGGUAGCGAAAUUCCUUGUCGGGUAAGUUCCGACCUGCACGAAUGGCGUAAUGAUGGCCAGGCUGUCUCCACCCGAGACUCAGUGAAAUUGAACUCGCUGUGAAGAUGCAGUGUACCCGCGGCAAGACGGAAAGACCCCGUGAACCUUUACUAUAGCUUGACACUGAACAUUGAGCCUUGAUGUGUAGGAUAGGUGGGAGGCUUUGAAGUGUGGACGCCAGUCUGCAUGGAGCCGACCUUGAAAUACCACCCUUUAAUGUUUGAUGUUCUAACGUGGACCCGUUACCCGGGUUGCGGACAGUGUCUGGUGGGUAGUUUGACUGGGGCGGUCUCCUCCUAAAGAGUAACGGAGGAGCACGAAGGUUGGCUAAUCCUGGUCGGACAUCAGGAGGUUAGUGCAAUGGCAUAAGCCAGCUUGACUGCGAGCGUGACGGCGCGAGCAGGUGCGAAAGCAGGUCAUAGUGAUCCGGUGGUUCUGAAUGGAAGGGCCAUCGCUCAACGGAUAAAAGGUACUCCGGGGAUAACAGGCUGAUACCGCCCAAGAGUUCAUAUCGACGGCGGUGUUUGGCACCUCGAUGUCGGCUCAUCACAUCCUGGGGCUGAAGUAGGUCCCAAGGGUAUGGCUGUUCGCCAUUUAAAGUGGUACGCGAGCUGGGUUUAGAACGUCGUGAGACAGUUCGGUCCCUAUCUGCCGUGGGCGCUGGAGAACUGAGGGGGGCUGCUCCUAGUACGAGAGGACCGGAGUGGACGCAUCACUGGUGUUCGGGUUGUCAUGCCAAUGGCACUGCCCGGUAGCUAAAUGCGGAAGAGAUAAGUGCUGAAAGCAUCUAAGCACGAAACUUGCCCCGAGAUGAGUUCUCCCUGAGACUUAGAGUCUCCUGAAGGAACGUUGAAGACGACGACGUUGAUAGGCCGGGUGUGUAAGCGCAGCGAUGCGUUGAGCUAACCGGUACUAAUGAACCGUGAGGCUUAACCUUACAACGCCGAAG
This 2396-nucleotide ribosomal RNA is filed under the name Salmonella enterica subsp. enterica serovar Enteritidis. RNAcentral's name for it is "bacterial LSU rRNA". It matches the Rfam family "Bacterial large subunit ribosomal RNA", at positions 561 to 2925 of the family's 2925-position model. The record is from RNAcentral. Lineage: Bacteria; Pseudomonadati; Pseudomonadota; Gammaproteobacteria; Enterobacterales; Enterobacteriaceae.